This 721-nucleotide ribosomal RNA is filed under the name uncultured bacterium. Its description in RNAcentral is "bacterial SSU rRNA". It matches the Rfam family "Bacterial small subunit ribosomal RNA", at positions 57 to 746 of the family's 1533-position model. The record is from RNAcentral.
GCAAGUUCGAAGCGGCAGCGACCAACAUCUGAACCUUCCGGGGGAAUUUGUUGGGCGGUGAGCGGCGGACGGGUGAGUAACGGCUCGGGAACUCGCCCUGACGUGGGGGAUAACAGUUCGGAAACGACUCGCUAAUACCGCAUGAUGUCUACGGACCAAAGAGGAGGACCUUCGGGCUCUCUCGCGUCGGGAUGGGCCCAGUUGGGAUUAGCUAGUUGGUGAGGUAAUGGCUCACCAAGGCGACGAUCCCUAGCUGGUUUGAGAGGAUGAUCAGCCACACUGGAACUGAGACACGGUCCAGACUCCUACGAGAGGCAGCAGUGGGGAAUACUGCACAAUGGGCGCAAGCCUGAUGCAGCCACGCCGCGUGUGUGAAGAAGGCCUUCGGGUUGUAAAGCACUUUCAGCAGUGAGGAAGGUCACGUAGUUAAUACCUGCGUGAUUUUGACGUUAGCUGCAGAAGAAGCACCGGCUAACUCCGUGCCAGCAGCCGCGGUAAUACGGAGGGUGCGAGCGUUAAUCGGAAUUACUGGGCGUAAAGCGCAUGCAGGCGGUUUGUUAAGCAAGAUGUGAAAGCCCCGGGCUUAACCUGGGAACCGCAUUUUGAACUGGCAGGCUAGAGUCUUGUAGAGGGGGGUAGAAUUUCAGGUGUAGCGGUGAAAUGCGUAGAGAUCUGAAGGAAUACCGGUGGCGAAGGCGGCCCCCUGGACAAAGACUGACGC